GGAUGUGAGGGCGAUCUGGCUGCGACAUCUGUCACCCCAUUGAUCGCCAGGGUUGAUUCGGCUGAUCUGGCUGGCUAGGCGGGUGUCCCCUUCCUCCCUCACCGCUCCAUGUGCGUCCCUCCCGAAGCCGUGCGCUCGGUGGAAGAGGACGUCCUCCCAGAUAGAAGGAGUACCGUUCUUCGGUCAAGGGUAUACGAUAGCUGCGCUCCCCUGCUAGAACCUCCAAACAAGCUCUCAAGGUCCAUUUGUAGGAGAACGUAGGGUAGUACAAGCUUCCAAGACUCCAGACACAUCCAAAUGAGGCGCUGCAUUUGGCAGUCUGCCUUUCUUU
Molecule: small nuclear RNA, 331 nt
Filed under: Sphenodon punctatus (tuatara)
Lineage: Eukaryota; Metazoa; Chordata; Lepidosauria; Sphenodontia; Sphenodontidae
Description: 7SK RNA (ENSSPUG00000007009.1)
Rfam family: 7SK RNA
About the family: 7SK was discovered as an abundant small nuclear RNA in the mid-70s but a possible function has only recently been suggested. Two independent studies have found that 7SK RNA binds the CDK9/cyclin T complex (known as elongation factor P-TEFb). P-TEFb activates transcription by phosphorylating the C-terminal domain of RNA polymerase II.
Source: Rfam by way of RNAcentral